AGCAAGAGAGCAGAGUGAAACAGCGCAAAUUGCCUACUAUCAUUCAAUGAGUGACAAACUUCCAACCAAUCUUUAGAUUCCAACCCUAUAACAAGUCCCUGAAAACUUACAAAAAAAAAAAAAAGUUCCAUCAAAUGGUUAGAAACACAGUAAUUUAAGAAAGAAGAAGAAGAAGAAGAAAUGGCAAGAGGGUUCCCCCAGAUGCGGAUCCAAGAUUCCGAAUUCUACCACACCCCAUCUAAUUUACUCCGCUCAAAAUCUAGUAUUCCUACUUCUUUAGUGAAUAUUUUUAACACAUAUACUUAAUAAACUCAUCCAUUACUCUUGGUACUAAGUCCUUUAAGGAAGAAAUAAAAAGAAAAAAGACUUUAAACUUUAUGCACCGAUACCAUAUAGAUUUUUUACACCAUUAAUUAAUGAAACAAGAAAAUCAAGUAACUCUUUCUAUCAAUCUUUGAUAUGGUAACCUGAAAAUAGAGUAAAAACAUGCAAUUACACUAAGGGGUCCUUUGGUAUGAGGUGUAAAAAGAUAUAGUGGUGAUCUAAAAAUUUAAUACCACCUUAAUACUCUAUUUAGUUAGCAAACCAGAAUAACUUGGGGUAACACUGAUAUAAUUUAUACCUUCUUUGUAGAAAUUAUACAAUUGUCAUUCUUAAUACAACAUAUCAAACAGUAAAUAAACAACAAUCCCAUCAUGGCGAAACCUAAUAUAACAUUUCCCGAUAUAACUUAUACUGACAUAACUUAUACCGGUAUAAAUCGUAUUUCAGCCAAACAAUUCCUGUAGUAUAAAAACAAUUACACCGUCAGAUAAAAUAGAGAGAUGCCUGGAUUUUGCUAUCUGGGUCGGCAAUAGGUUCAAGAUUUUCAGAUGGGAUGUAAUCAACGGUGGAAUCUGGCACAGGGGCCUUGUUUUCAUCAUUGACAACAUCUUCAGGCUG
Molecule: long non-coding RNA, 942 nt
Filed under: Nicotiana benthamiana
Lineage: Eukaryota; Viridiplantae; Streptophyta; Magnoliopsida; Solanales; Solanaceae
Description: long non-coding RNA (NBEN_LNC035000)
Source: RNAcentral